Molecule: long non-coding RNA, 3961 nt
Filed under: Gallus gallus (chicken)
Lineage: Eukaryota; Metazoa; Chordata; Aves; Galliformes; Phasianidae
Source: RNAcentral
GGGCUAGCAAGAUAAGAGGGCAAUGAGACAGCAAGCGGGCAGAGAAAUGGGGAGGGUGUCUCUUCCAGGACCCCCCUAGUCUCAUCCUGAGCUGGGGGAACCCACAGUGCCAUAGCUACCUCCUUGGGUCUCACCUCUUGGGAACAGAGCAGGGAAGUGUGAAUCCAGAUAAUAGCAGCCAAAGUGUGGUCUCCUAUGCCUUCACCACAAACUGAACAGCUAAGCUAUCAACCUUCAUCACUUCUCCAGUCUUCCUUCUACCUGCAAGAUCAGCUCUUUGCUAAAAUAACUACAGAAGUAAGAUUUGAGUCAGCUACCAUCUUCCCUCCCUUACUUUGAUCCCACCUUGUGCCUCCACUCCUUGGAAUAAAGCAAUGUUACACAGUGUUUGAAAUCAUAGUCAGUUCCCACUCCCCAGCGACACAGAGGGAUUUGGCUCUAAAAAGAAUUUGGGAUUUGGCAGUCUGGUAUAAGAUCCAGGCCGGUCUGGGAGAAGAGCUACAGUUCACCCACCCCUCUAAAGAAACAACACUGAAUUCACAGCAGGGCUAAUACAUGGUGAUGCACAUAACUAAUAGGCUUGCUGCAAAUUUGGUAUCCAAUUUGGGUUCUGUUUGAAGGAGAGGGAGAAAGGUUCAUAGAGGACAUCCCAGCCCCCCCAAACACAACUCAAGUCACUCCUUGGGCCCAGCCCCAGUCCACGGAGACACACAACAGCAUCUCCUUAACCUUGAUACCACAGGAGUUUUUGAAGAACUCAACUUCAGACCAAGAGGGGAUGCCAAGUUUUGAGGGCUUAUGGAUUCUCUUAUGAGUGUGUUUAGUUGGUUUUGGUAUUUCUCUCAAGCCUUUAAAGAUGCCAAGGGAUGCCUUUAGGAGGAGGCUAGGGACAACUUCAUAUAGUCUUCAGUUCUUUGUUCUUCCUCGAGUUCUUCUUUGGUCAUCAUUGACUUGUACUGGUUUCCCCUCAGCUUUCCAGGACUGUAUUUGAAAGAAAACGUCUCAUCUGCAGCAUCAUCAUCUUCAGUCUCUUUCACCAUCAGCUUCUCACUGUCUGAGUCCGGAUCUUCCUCCUUGCUCUCUUCCUCCUCCUCUUCCUCGUCCUCCUGCUGCUGCUGCUGCUGCUGCUCCCGGGGUUCGGCGGCGGGCGGCGGCCGGGGGAUGCUCUCGGGGCUCCGCUCGGCCACGGGUUUCUGCUCAGCCGCGGAUUUCUGCUCAGCCACCGCCGCCUCCUUCUCCUGCUCUUCCUUCUCCUUCUCCUCCUCCUUCCCCUCGCCGCCCGCCCCGACCUCCUCCACCGGCACCCGGCUCCCCUCUACCCCCGGCCCCUCGGCCGCUCCCCGCGGCUCCGCUUCGCCCCCGGCGGCCGAGCCCGGCUCCUCUCUGCCCGGCUCCGCUUUGCUCGGCUCCGGCUCCGACUCCGGCUGCCGCUCCGCCGCCCGCUGCCCCUCGCCGCCCCGCAGCUUCACAAAGACGGAGGCGAGGACGAUGGCCAGGACGGUGAAGAGCAGCGGGACGGCCAGGUACAGGUCCACGGCCACGUCCAUGCUGCCGGAGCCCGAGUGCGCGGACACCCGCUCGGCCUGCGGCGGGGCUGGGCAGCCUCUCAGCAGCCUUCACCCGGCGUCAUCUCCCUCGGCCCUGCCCACAGCCCCGGCCCCUUCCCCUCCCCGCCCAGCCCCGAGCCUGCCCCAAGGAUGGGGGGGAACUCCGCUCCGGGCAGGACGGGCUCAUGGAGGGCAGGCUGGAAGGCCAGCUGGGCUCCGCGCGAUGCUCAGCGAACGCUCACACCUUGCCAGCCCUCGGUGGGAGCCGGCACCGCACGGCAGGAUGUCCCCGGCGAGGAACGUCAAUGCCGAAGCCCAAAGCAUCGCCUCGCUUGGCCCUGGAGCUGCGGGUGGUACCCGUGAUGGCGGGACGGCAGCCGUGGCAGCCGGGUGAUACUCAGGAGCUGCGGGUGGCACCCGGGAUAGCCAGGUGCUAUCAGUGACAACCGGGUGACACCCACAUCAAACCCAGGGCAUCGCUCCCCCACCUGCGCCACGAGCAGCAGGAGGCUCAUGGCACAGCCAAGCCAUAACGCUGCUAACCGGGUGGUACCCACAGUACUGGGGUGAUAUCCUCGGGUGCUUUUAUUUCCUGGUUUGGGUACACAGCGAUGGGUGACACAAACCGUCGUCACUGCCAUCGGGGUGCUGACAGUAUGUGGGUUACGAGAGCCUCCCCGCAGCACAGCGAGGUGCACCGAGGGACCGCAAACGGCAAUGCCCAAAGACUGGGCUGCUCGGAGCCAGCACGAGCCCUGCCAGGGCUGCCGCACAGCCCCCCCACCGAGGACUUCCUGCCCCUCGGGGAGGGGAGGGUGAGCUCCACAAAGCGCUCCGGAAUCACAUCUAAGCUACGCCACGGCUAAAGGCAGCGCUGAGCUCUCCACGCCGCACGCGGUGGGAGCAGACGUGGGGGUGCGCCCGCAGAGCUUCCUCCGGGGAAAAGGCUUCGGGGGGUUCUCUGCGAGCGGAACGUCUGUACUGAGCGGCUGAAAACAAAAGAAAGACGGAUUAAAUCCCCGGGGAGGGAGGAAGGAAGCGGAGCCGCGAUCCUCGCUGCCGUUUAUCGCUAUUGCUAAUCCUAUCAAGCGGCCGUUUGCGCGUGGAUCGUCGUAUUCUUAGUAACGACCGGUCACGGUGCCGCUCUCCCCGUCCGCGUUUUGUGGGCUCUGAGCAUCGGAGCGGCCCCGGAGCUGAGCGCUGCGCGGCGGUUCGGCUCAGCGCCCGGUUGCUCCUUCCCAAACGCGUUCCUAAGCUCAGACUCCCAGCCGCGUUUCGGUUGCCAGCUGGAGGCGACACAAAAGCACGCGGCACGCAGCAGCGGCCCUGCGCCCGUGCUGAGGAGCAUCGGUGGGUGCGCCGAUCCAGAGCGGAGCAACGAGCCCCACGCGAAGGCGUUGCUGCAGGACGGGUGCCGGUGCCGCGACCACCACCGGCCGCGACAUCCACUUUCCUCCGCCGGCACCGCGUUUCCCGCAGCCGCAGCCGCUGUGCGCGGUGUUGCGGUAACGCAGCGCAGAGACGGAGCGGGACGGAACGCGGCGGCCGAGCCGGGACCGCGCUGCCCUCUGCCGGGAGGAGCCCCGCGCUGCAGCAGCGCACGGCUGUGCCGGGACCGCGCACAAAGACCGCUUUGACGCAGCAGUCGGAGGGGGGGGGGAGGAGGACGGGGGCAGCUGCGGAGCUCUGCCGACAAAGGAUUGAGGAGGGAGCGGUGAUAACUGCUCGGGGGCAGCUCGGCAGGACGGCCGGGGCAGCGUUUCAUGGCACAGCGCGUUUCUAUCGGCAUUUCAGGAGCCCGCAGACUGCCGCCUCACGCUCUGCUUAUUUACCUGCAGCCGUCGGGUUCAACCACAGCGCCCUCAUCCACCGCGCAGCGCCCGGGGCAGCACCACAGCAUCGUAACGUACCUCAGGGAAGAGGUGCGGACCUUUGGAACGUGGCUGAAAAUGGUUCAAAAAGCGACAGAGAAACGGGAGGAUGCAAAAUAAUUGAGUUUAUUUCAAAUAAAAAGCAAAACCACAAUCAUCCAAACGAGACAAUUGAAGGGUAUCCCAGCUCUGCUGGACGGGGCCAUAGAAGCAGCUGAAGGCAGGGCUGGGGGCUCAGACUGCUGCGUGGAUCACUUCGCUUCUUCCUUCCCUCCUUUGCAGAGGGAAUGCCAAAAUGCUCCUCUUACGAUGCUGACUGCUAUUAGAUGAGCACACGGGCAUCGCAGCUGAUUCAGGCAGCAGUCUUGCCUUCCACCCCGCAAUGGCUGGGGAUUGGAGGAGGAAAAGGCUCUGGGUUGAUAAUGAAGAGCCAGCCCAUCCAAGCUGGGAAGGGAAGGGAGGUUUGUGUGCCAGCACCUCCUCAGCAUCACCUGUCCCCAAGCACCGUGCAGCAGCAGGCGCUGAGCUCUGCGUGCGCCCACA